This 482-nucleotide ribosomal RNA is filed under the name uncultured bacterium. Its description in RNAcentral is "partial 16S ribosomal RNA". It matches the Rfam family "Bacterial small subunit ribosomal RNA", at positions 28 to 507 of the family's 1533-position model. The record is from RNAcentral.
GACGAACGCUGGCGGCGUGCUUAACACAUGCAAGUCGAACGCUGAAGCUCAGCUUGCUGGGUGGAUGAGUGGCGAACGGGUGAGUAACACGUGAGUAACCUGCCCUCUUCUUUGGGAUAACGCCCGUAAACGGGUGCUAAUACUGGAUAUUCACUGAUUCUCGCAUGGGGGUUGGUGGAAAGGUUUUUUCUGGUGGGGGAUGGGCUCGCGGCCUAUCAGCUUGUUGGUGGGGUGAUGGCCUACCAAGGCUUUGACGGGUAGCCGGCCUGAGAGGGUGACCGGUCACAUUGGGACUGAGAUACGGCCCAGACUCCUACGGGAGGCAGCAGUGGGGAAUAUUGCACAAUGGGCGAAAGCCUGAUGCAGCGACGCCGCGUGAGGGAUGGAGGCCUUCGGGUUGUAAACCUCUUUCGCUCAUGGUCAAGCCGCAGCUUUGGGUUGUGGUGAGGGUAGUGGGUAAAGAAGCGCCGGCUAACUACGUG